AUAUUCCACAAUGGUGUCAAUCGUGAUCCAGCCAUGCCGCGUGUGUGAAGAAGGUAUUCGGAUUUUAAUGCACUAUAAGUUGGGAGGAAGGGCUUUAGUCUAAUACCCUGAAGUUUUGACGUUACCAACAGAAUAAGCAUCUGCUAACUCUUUUCCAGCAGCCGCGGUAAUACAGAGGGUGCAAGCGUUAAUCGGAAUUACUGGGAGUAAAGCGCGCGUAGGUGGUUCAGUAAGAUGGGUGUGAAAUCCCCGGGCUUAACCUGGGAACUGCUUUCAUAACUGCUGAGCUAGAGUACGGUAGAGGGUAGUGGAAUUUCCUGUGUAGCGGUGAAAUGCGUAGAUAUAGGAAGGAACACCAGUGGCGAAGGCGACUACCUGGACUGAUACUGACACUGAGGUGCGAAAGCGUGGGGAGCAAACAG
RNAcentral lists this ribosomal RNA (422 nucleotides) under uncultured bacterium. RNAcentral's name for it is "partial 16S ribosomal RNA". It matches the Rfam family "Bacterial small subunit ribosomal RNA", at positions 361 to 775 of the family's 1533-position model. The record is from RNAcentral.